Long non-coding RNA from Gasterosteus aculeatus aculeatus (three-spined stickleback), 20276 nucleotides. Lineage: Eukaryota; Metazoa; Chordata; Actinopteri; Perciformes; Gasterosteidae. The record is from Ensembl.
AGGUUUACUGUCUAAAAGGCCUUUUGAAGAUCCAACAAAAUCAUCUCAGUGUAGUAGCCUCUCUCAUUUCCCACCCUCACAUGAUCAAAAAGCUCAUCGAGACAGCUUUCUGUGGAUGUGGCUUUUCUCAACCAGAUUGAUGUCCAUGAAAUAGUUAUAAGUGCUGCAGAAGGUAUUCCUCAGGUUGGUUGAAAACUGACUCUCAAAUACAUUGUGCGAGACCAAACAUGCAGUUUUACAUAUGUGUGCUUUUCUUCUGUGUUACCAGUGCACAUCUUCAGGAUGGUCCGUUAAGUCAGUGGUCCCCAACCUCUUUUGUCCCACGGACUAGUUGCAUUUUAGAAAAUAUUUCACGGACCGGUCAAAUGACCAGCCACCGGGGGGAGGGGGUCAGCAGUCGCUGCGCACAACAAAAAUAAAUGAAACGAUUGGGUGACCCUUGGGAAAUGUCUCAUGAGGAACAAGCACAUGUAAUUGGGAGGGAAUCCGGUCAUUUUUCAUUGAUUUCUCACAAAAAAUAAAAAUGAAAUGAAUGGUUGGGACUGUUUAGCGCUUAGAAAAAAAGGUUUUAAGUCCCUCAACAAAUAAAAAGAUUCUCUUCAGAAAAUGUAGUCACCAAACACACGUAUACAGUACAACCCAUGUAAAAACACCGUAAGAUCAUAAUACUGAGGGAAAACUGGAGAGGAAUGAUAAUGAGGUGGGGAGGAGUUUGGUCUCAGAGCUGACCAUUAACCACAGCAGCCUGUGUCAGCAGUUUCUAGUUUCUUAUCUUUGACUACUCCUGUUUUUCUUUCUUCUAGAACAACACUAAAAGCAAUUCCAUCAGGAGAGACUUCUGAACUUCUAACAAUGAUUUAUUAACAAGUAUAAGUGUUAAAAAUGCAAAGUUUGUUUGGGCUUGGACUCCAUCCAGCCGUAGGAUCGACCCGGGAUGCCGAGAUCAGAUGAGGCAUAUCCCCCCUUUGGUGGUGGUGGUAGAGAAUAAGUUGCUUCCCGCUUUCGAUAUGCCAGAUUCCCCUACUGAUUAGAGGUGGUGGAGGGUUGCGUCUGGUGCUUGCUGAAAUGACAACUGACAGCAACAGAGAUGAGAACAGCUUUCAAGGUUGACAGCCUUGACACGAUUGGUUUACAGAAACGGUGCCUCUGCCCCCAAUCAGCUUAUGGCGUACCCACAUAGACAGCGGGACCCUAGGGCAGGCAUUAGCUUCUCCAGUCUUCCUGCCUGAAUUUAUGCCUAAGCUUCAUUAAACUCCAUCUGGAGGUUAUCAACACAGAGGAGUCACGAGGAAAGUCAGGAGCAAAAAAAACUUUGGAGCAGCUGCUGUGAACAGUAAAUGUCGGCAAAACCCUGUGGAAUCUCUUUUUUUAUAUUGGAGCCUGUGUUAGCAGGUGUAGAUCAACCACCAAGCUGAUCUAGAGAUUUUUGAUGCAUUGCCUUUUUUUAUGUUAAUGCGCGCAGUUGGAAGCAGAAAUUCGACGUGAACAUUGUCUCUUAACAGUAUCUUACUACAGUUUUAUUAUAUGUUAUUCUAGCUCUGUAGGGAUGAGUUUUACAGAUUUUUUUACAAUCGCUAGGACACUUUUCAAUAUAUCUAACAAGUUUACUAAACUCUUAACGCACUAACCCACCCACGACACACAAUUUGCAAAACGAUUCAUUUCAUGCUUCAAGUCACACAUUGUAAACUAAACUCAGACCCUAAUUGCCAUAACACAAAAUACACUAAACAUUAACACCAUGUCUACCAAAACACUAACACACAUUCGCUUUCAACAGCUAUAUUUUGUCAAUCGUAGCGCAAUGUCAUAAAAAACACUAACAUCAGAUAGAACUACAGAAACUGCAUUCCAUUUGUUACAAAGCGCCAUCAUGGAGCGGUUGAACGUAUCGGCCGCCCAGUAGGACGUGUAAGACGAUGCCUACUGUGGCCACUGAAGAGUCUAAACAGAAAGUGGGUCCACUCAGUGAGAAAGGAUGAACGAAGCGAGAGGCAGGACAAAGUGAUCCAUGUUGUUGAUAAUUCAGAGGUGGACUUGCUGGUGUGUUUUGGAUCACUGUCCUGCUGCAGAACCCAAGUGCGCUUCAGCUUGAGGUCAUAAACAGAUGGCCGGACAUUGUCCUUCAGGAUUUUUUGGUAGACAGCAGAAUUCUUGGUUCCAUUUACCACAUCAAGUCUUCCAGGUCCCGAAGUGGCAAAACAGCCCCAGACCAUCACACCACCAUAUAUUACUGUUGGUAUGAUCUUCCUUUUCUGAAAUGCCGUGUUACUUUUAUGCCAGAUAAUGGGGUGAAUGUAGCAGUAUAGAGGUGCCACCCUUUUGGAAAUUAACACCAGGUGGCUGCAAUUAGGUGGGCCGGUUUAAAAGUAGCACGCCUCCACCAGCUCUUCCUCUUGCACCUCUGUUCUGUGAGGUGCGUCAUUUCCGGGCGACUGGAUGUGUGCUGCUCUGUGCUCCCGUGGCGUAUUUGCUUGGUGAGUGUCUCUCUCAACAUGGCGUUGUGGGUACUAUCUGAUGGCUAACCCUAGUGUGGUCACAGGUAAAUGCCAGCGACAGCCAGUGUCCUCUCCCUCCCUCUUCCUGUGUGUAAGCGUGUGUCCUAGAACAGGUAUGUGUGUUUAAGUAUACGCAAGCAACCAGUUUACUUUGAACCACUAACUGCAUUUUUUUCUGUAAUCAGGAGUUGUGAUCAGCAGAAUGGGGUCCCUGCUGUUUUCUCUAGUGAAGUUUGUCUCCACGCACUCGUCUCCGCUGAAGCUCCACCUCCAGGGAAGCUUCGUCUCCGCAGUGUUCUCCUGACUGAGCCUUGAUCUCCCCCCUGGAAGCAUUGUCCUACCAGCGCGGUGUGGUAAGACAGUGUUUCUUUGUAAUCAGCACUCAAGUCAAAGGAGCACCAAAAGUAUUACCUCCUCUGUACAGUUAAGGGUGGAGGCAAAAAGAGCUGCACUUGAUGAUGCAGUUGUACGUGCAUCAUCCUUAAAGGAAAGGCAUGCUUUGGAGGAGCAGCUGAGGAUGAAAGGAGAGCAGCUGAGGAGGAAACGAGAGCAGCUCGAUCUGGGAACCGAAUUAGCCGCUUCAACUGCUAUGUUGGCAGUAUUACAGGCCUCAGACCAAAGAAGUGUUACACAUGGACCCACAGAUGGCAUGGCUUCCUGUUUUGAAGGAAGGGAAGGGCAACCAUUGGACUGCUUAAACCCUAUGGCAGAGGACUACCAGCCCAAAGAAGACAAGAAACGACACCACUUGACAAAAUGGCCGGUACCUCCCGAUAAACCACAGUCCAUGGAUGUCCAACCAAAGGAAACGGAGCAACGGUCGAAACCUGCUUCGCAACAUCAGUGCAGCCCCAAUGACCAACAGCAGGAGAACAAUAUAUUGGGAAUGCAUCAUGGGCAGUACCAAUCAGGGACUCUGCAGUUAAAGGUGGAAGAAAGGCAUUCUACAACCUACAAUCUAAACGAGUCUGGAGACAUACUUGCCAUCAUGCACAGGCAAAAUGAAAUAACUGCUACACUUGUGCAUCAACAGUGCUCAUCAUCUCUGCCUCCACGAGAAAUUCCUGUAUUUGAAGGAGACCCUCUUCAGUACAGAGCGUUUAUCAAGGCUUUUGAACAAGGAGUUGAGGAAAAGGCAGGAAGAGCAGAUUAUCUUUACUAUUUGCAACAGUUUACAGCCGGACAGCCCAAAGAUUUGGUGCGAAUUUGCCAGCAUAUGGAUCUGGAGCAUGGUUAUGCAGUUGCUAUGGGACUUCUACAGGAACACUUUGGAAACCAGUAUAAGAUUGCAGCUGCAUACAUGGAAAAGGCUUUAGCAUGGAAAAUUAUAAAAUCUGAGGAUGUUAAAGCGCUUCAGGGCUAUGCCUUAUUCUUGCGUGGCUGCUGCAUUGUCAUGGAGGAGCUCCAGUACAUGCAGGAAUUGGAUAUGCCUGUAAACAUGAGAGCCAUUAGUCAAAAUGACCAUUCAAAAUGAGAGAACAAUGGAGGGCCACAGCUCACGGUAUCAUGGAAACCAGCAAUCAGAGAGCCCACUUUGUGGAUCUAGUCAUAUUUAUUGUGCGUCGUGUCAGAAUUCUCUCCGACCCUCUUUUUGGUGACAUACAGCAACCGGUGUUACUGGGACAAGGCCGUUCAACAGGUUUAAUUCCCAGCCCAGUAACAGAGGCUGGUGAAAUAUUGUUGCCACAACAAUAACUUCCAAAGACUGGCCUGAGAGAGUUACAGAAUCCGUACCAGAAAGUGCAAAGGCUUUGCUGUGCUCAUAAUCACUCAUUGGAAGAGUGUAAAGUAUUCAAAGAAAGGAACCACAAGGAAAAACGUAGCAUCCUGAGGGAACAAGGAGUGUGCUUUGCAUGUUUGUGUUGGUCAUAUGAGUCGGGACUGCGAAAGGCGCUUGUCUUGCAAAGUUUGUGGUAAAGGUCACCCCACUGCGCUUCAUAUUAAGAGGCAGUUAUCUGCUCUGGAAAAGUUUAAGGAACCAUAUAAUGACCAUCCGACUUCACUGGAAACAUGUGGACAUACAGGGGCCGGUAAGGACCGCUGUGUCCUAUCAAACAUCCCUGUCAAGAUGAAAGCUGCAAAAGGAAAUCACAUUAUCCAAACAUACGCCUUCCUGGAUCCCGGUAGUUCUGCCACAUUCUGCUCAGAACACCUAAUGCAGAGUCUGCAUAUUACAGGCAAAAGAACCAACAUCUUGUUGCAGACUAUGGGACAGGAAGCUGUUGUGCCAGCAUAUACGUUGGCUGGGUUGGAGAUAUCUGGCAUAGACGGCAAACAAUUUUAUACAUUACCCAAUGUGCUCGCACAGAAGAAAAUGCCAGUCACCACUCGCUGGAGUCCCAAAGCUUUAGAAAUGUCUUUGUAACCUUUUCCACACGGAUAGAUCUCAAUUACUUUGUUUCACAUUUCUUCCUGAAUUUCUUUGGAUCACAGCAUGAUGUCUAGCUUUUGAGGAUCUUUUCCAGGCAGUGUCACGACCCGGCAGGACACAAGACACAGACGCAGAGUUGUCACGGGAUUUGUACGGGUCUUUAUUGGAAAGACUGAAUCUCUCCAAGGCACGGAAAAUAAAUACAACUGUCAACAUUAUCUAGAACACACUUUGAGGAAGUGAGGCUACACAUAUGAUCUAAAGUCAUUCCUUUAUUAAAAUAGCGGGUAAGCACUCUUUCGGCAGAGGCAACAUCUCUAACAAAAACCCUCCUUAAAACUAAAGGCACUAUGAAAGAUUGUCAAAACAAAGUCACUCCUUACGGUUGGAGUGAACGCACACACACACAGGCAGAAACGAACAAACUGGCACAGGACAAAGGGAGACGCAGACUAUUAGUACACAUGGAGGGGAAUGGGGAACAGGUGGACACAAUCAGGAAUCAAGACAACCAGACUGGUGACACAUGAGGAAUAAUAAGUGACCUGAAACAAGAGUAGAGUUACUAUUUCAAAAUAAAACAGGAAAUGACAAGACAAAAAGACCAGACAAAAUAAAACAAACCCAACUUCACCGCGGUGUGACAGGCAGGUCCUAUUUAAGUGAUUUCUUGAUUGAGGCCUGGGUGUGGCUAGAGAAAUUGAACUCAGUUUUCCAAAGAUGUGAUAAAGCACUUUUUCACACAUGGCCAUGUAGGUUUGGAUUUUUUUCUCCCCUACAUGUUUGUGUUGGUUGAAGAAAAAUACUUUUUUUCCUGCCCUCCAUUCUCCCUUCUUCCCCAGUGUAAAGCGCCUCCCAAAAAGGCUGACAGAUGUGUUUAUAAAAUGGCUUUUCUGCAAGAAAAAAAGUAUUUUUUGGGGGGGAAAACCAUACUAACCAUACUUCUGUGCUGUUAAACCCACAGGCCACUGUACUAACCCUAAAAAGAAAUGACAAGAAGCGCGUGUAAAAAAAAAAAUAGCAGGGCGCCUCAUCCACAUAAUCAGUGUCAAUGAAAUGAAAUUCUUCCAUGCUUUCAAACAGGUAGCACUGUGUGAAGUUUAAAAUUCCACAGCUGUGCUUGUUAUGUUGGCGUAAUCCAACAUAACAAGACACAUGUGGACUGGCUAUGAGGCCUUGAUGACCCCUGAGGAUUAAAUGAGACAUUUUACCAUAUGGAUAAACAAUCUUUAGAUCCACUUCGAUACACAGAAUUUCACUUUCUGCUCUGGUGUCUGUAUUCUCCCUGACUUUUCCACGGGGAGCAGCUUCGAUGAAAGAUGUGUUAUCAAAACAUGUGUUGUCAAGUUAUCAGUGGGGGAUUCUUCUGCCCUUUUAGUUUCUCUGAGCUUUUGGCCGACCAGCUGGACUUUUUUUGCAGAAAAGCCAUUUCAGAAACAUGUCUGUCAGCCUUCUUUGGGAGGCGCAGAUAAGCGCUUUACACUGGGGAAGAAGGGAGAAGGGAGGGAAGGGAGGGCAGGGCAGAAAGGGGGAGAAAGGUAGAUUGACAGGCAAACAGGCAGAACAUUCAGAGAGAGAGAAGCACAGGGUGGAUCAGAGCAAAUAACCCGGGAUACAAACCGUGAAGUGCUGUUCAUCUCCGUAAAUGACACCAGCGGGAGAUGAUUACUGGGUAGAAGAUGAAUCUCAGGUCUCCACUGCUGUUGCCAGUCUGGGUGAAACCAAGUCGUUGACAUAUUCCAUUUCUUUAAUAAAAGAAAUCAAAUGGAAAUAAAAUAAUACAAAUUGUCCCUACAUUUCUUCAUAAUUCCAAUCCAUAAUUAUAGAUUGAAAGGAAUUGAAGCAUAGAGCAGCUGUGGGAACUGUAGAACGCAUGCAUCAUGGGGCGGCACAGUGCUGUGUUGGCUAGCACUGUCGCCUCACAGAGAGAAGGUCCCAGGUUCAAACCCGCCACUACGUUUCUCUGUGGAGUUUACUCCUGCAUAUUUGUGCAGGUACUCCUGCAUUUGCCGGCUAGGUUAAGUGGUGACUCUUAUAUUCCCCUUAGGUGAGUGAAUGAUUGUCUGUCUCUGUCAGCCUUACCAUUAGCUGGGUGUACCCUUUCUCCGGCACAGGGUUUGCUGGGAUUGACUCCGGCCCUCUUGAGACACCUCUCAGGAUAGUGACUGACCUCAUAAUUAUGUCUUUUUAUCUCAUAAAUGUUGUAACUUACCAUAACGUAAGUGGGAGAAUUAAGAUGUAGUUUUUCCUGCCAGGAUGUUAAACCUGUGCCUGAAUGCAUCAGGGAAGUUCUCCUCCUCACGUGGAGGAGCUCAUUGAACCUCAUGAUGGCGUUUCAACGGGUUCUGAGCACAUAAGACGCUGGUUUAGUGCUGCAGUGGGGAGUAGGAACAGAAAUGAGUCCUUCCAUUGAGGAUUAAAUGCUCUACGUUCGCUUUCCACUCGUCUCUUUUUUGAGAGGUGAGAUAAAAACAAAAUGGGGAGUGAAAAAUGACGUAAUGGUACAUGGCCAAUGUUCCCGCCACAAGGGUUUAACCUACGUCUCCCAACAUUUGCGAUAUGAGUGGAUUAGCUGAGUGUGAGAGUGUCCUUUCCAUUACUUUAGCCGGAAACAUUGAAUUACAAGAUGUGAAUGUAACAGCCAAAUAGUGUGAUGCCUCGUUCACAACAAUUAGCACAGAUCCAGUGGUCCACCAGUGAGAUGGUUGAUGGAACGUUUGGGAUGGAUUUCUUUCUCUUUUUUUGUUUUUGGACCAGAAAUAGUAUUUGGCAUUCUCCCUACCAGGAGUGGAAGAAGAUUAGAAAAGAAGUGUCAAGUUUUCCGAGGUGUACGUGAGUUCACGCAGUCGAAGGGAUGUAGAGGUUGGGGACCGAGUGAAGGAAUGUGAAAAGGCAGUGUUUUUGGUACAACAGGUAAAGCUUAGGCGACAGCUAUGUACAAAUAAUGUACAAUGGUGCUGAAGCAAAUAGCAAGAACUGAUGGCCAAGACAUACAUGCACAGACAGAAGGAAGAAACACGCCUAGAGAUGACGAAGGUAGUAAAAGAGUCUCCUUUCCCCCUGCCCAUCUGCUGAGUUAACUCUCCUCUUAUUUUUGCUGGACUUUUGGCCAGAACCAGAGUGUGAAAUUCUAAUCUCCAGUCGCUACCCUGUCAUCUAAAAGUGGAGCUGUCAUGAAUAACCGUGCACAGCAUGGAACAAAUAUUUCAAGAAAUAUGUGACUUUCCCCCUUUUUUUCAACCUUGUCUCUUACAGAAAUGUGUUUUCUGAUAAUAAUAGCCACCUAAGUUUGGUUCAUAGCAAAGAUUAUUCUUCCAAUGCAAGUGGAUUGACAUCAAGGAGUUGCAGGAAUUCAACGUUAUGCCCCCCAGCUUGCUGUAUCAAUUGUGCUGAUGUAAGACUUGUUUCUAAAAUGUAAAGGAUAUUACACUGUAUAUUCAGUACAAAUUAUAUUAUAGAACAUGUUUUGAUUGCAUUUUCUGGUUUAAUUGUAAUUAAAUGUAUUAAUUGAAUUAACACUUUCUCACUGCCAACUACUCAAACAAUGAUGCUUGGUCAGUCAGCCACAAACUAUGAAAGAACUUAUCUGAAAAGAUAAUGGUUUUGGGAUAAAACACGUCUGCCUUCUACGUAAGUUGUGUAAAGCAUGGUAAUUGUCUAACACAAGCAAGCUUUUCCCAAGGCUACGUUGUGUGAAGUUAGUGACCUUGUAAAUCAGUUAGCGUAUUAAAAUGCUGCAAAAAUACAUCCAUGAUGCAACACAUUUGCAUACAAAUGUGAAGCGAUGCGCACACAAAUGCAGUGCGAUCCGCCAAUAUAAAUCGUAAUUUAUUUAUGUGCGCUGUGGCAACCCACGGGCGCAACACUGGACAGCGCCUCAAGAGAGCAGCUCGAAGAGCAGGGGCACCAACGAGCAAGAGGUCAGGUGACCAAAAGGGGAAACACCCCGUCCCCUCAGGAGACAACGAGCGGCCCAGGUGCAGCUCAUAAGGCUGAUGAAGGUUGGCCACACUAUAAAAGACCAACCAGUCAACAGCCCAGCAGACAAGACGUGAGUAGAAGCUGGCUUCAUGCCGGGGUUUGUUUGCAAGAGUGUUAAAGCCCAUUUUUUUUGUGCUUCCUGCAGGAAGGAGACUGAAGGAACCAGGAGAGGGGUAAUUUGACGUCGGCGUAGGUGGGUCGCUUCUCCUCACCUCUCUGUCUACAUCUAACGCCAUCAAAAUGCUUUUUCAAUUAGAUUCCAACUGGGUUAUCGGCACAGCGUGUUUCUCGUUUACUUUCAUUGCCAGUCUCACUCAAGUUACUCCUUUUCCCCUGUUUUUAUUUUUUACCAGUAACUUGUAGCUGAGAGCUACACUUUCCGUCCCUGACAGUGAAGGCUUUUCAAAUCAGGGCGAUCCUUUGCCAUCCCCUCAAAAACACAUGAACAUACUGAAUUUCAAUUAUUAUUUCCUCUUGACUCCAAAAACGUCCAAUUUUACGAAUAAAAACAACAUCUAAGUCAGAUCAAAAAUUCAGUGUCUGUGACAUCAUGGUCCAUUAGAGGCCCAGGAUAUUGGAAAUUGUAUUUAAUAAAAGAUGGUCUUAUAGAUUACGUGGGGUACUGUCACACAGGUGUAGGAGAAGAACAACAUUUAUUGCCAAUAUUUAGAAGGCUCUUGGCAGAAUAUGAAUUUUCUAUGCCAAGAUGACAUGACAUAUAUUUGAGAAGGAGGAAGGACAUAAUCCAAUAAUCUUGGAGCUGAUGGCAUUUCUGUUCACAAUUUAUUAUAUAUAUAUAUUACAAUAAAUUCUAACUUUUAUUUUGCUUUGCUCCAUUGCUUUACGGAAACGGUGGCUGCGUCUGGUUGGCUAGUUCGCUCCCAAUCAGCUAACAGCGUGAAAUUAGAUAUUGACCGCACGGUAAACAGCUCCGCCUUCUGGUUCAGCUCUCUCUUCACCAAGACAGUCCGUUGCAUUGUCCGCCUGUCGAUUUCCCGAUCCAUCCUACCCUCAGCGGUGAACAACAGCCAGAGAUACUUAAAGUCCUUUUCUUGCGGUCUGCAGUCCGGAGAGGGCAGUCCACCGGUUUAAGCCCCUUGGCCUCAGAUUUGGAGGUGCUAUCCCACAUCCCUGCUGCUUCACACUGCUGCUUGCCCAACGAAUGCUGGAGGUCUCCAACAGGACUCCAUCUCCAUCAGCAGAGAGGUGAUCUCAAGGCUGCGCUUAGACAUUCUGUCCUUGAAAGCCACAAAUAGGACUUGUGAUAUGGGGCAGCCCUUUCUUAGGCCUAAACCACCCUGACCACCCUGAACUCUUACUGCAGUUAUAAAGAUACUGGAUAGCCCGUUGCAUUAGGUUUUGGCACCCAAAACCCCCCACAAAAACCCAUGAGGGACCCAGUCGAAAGCUUUCUCCAAGUCCACAAAGCACGACCCCCUCUAGUAGUCCAGUAGUCGUGGGAAAGAGCUAGUCCAUUGUUCCACGGGAUCACAACACCACUCCUCCGCAUUCCAAAUAUAAAGAAAUACUCCAUUUAUUGAUGUCCUGUCUUGGACACACAAUGUGCUCUAGGCGAGUCACCUGAAAAUACUCUAGACUUGCUCUCAGACUUGGUUCAACGGAGUCCUGUUUGUCAGCCCCUGAGAGUUGAGAAUGGUACACAGGAAAACACGGCUGCAGGACUUCUGGCUUCACGCUGGCAUAUAUGGCAAACGCGGUUAUAUAACAUCACCAGAACAGAAAUGACUGUACACAGACUUCAGGUCAUGACUUCAUAGCACGAAAUGAACCGUAUCUUAACCGUUAUCACAGAUAUUGUAUCUGUGGGGGAUUCAAGGGCUGUUGAGCAGCACUAAGCGGAUGGACUAUUUAGACAACUUGGCAGAUGCUGAGAUGUCUCACUAUUAAAACUGCUUUCUGGCACAGAUGAUCUUGCGGGCAACAGAAAACACCUUUUGCAAAAUCAAAAUCUUGUGGUUAAGGAUAUAAAAACUGAAAAUGUGAUCUAAUAAUUUAGAGGUUUUUAAUUUGUUUUCAGCCAGAAUGUUUCUAGAUUUCACGUAAUAAUGAUGUUUUUAUGACGGUCACGGCUAUCAGAAACACUAGGAUGUACUUUUCAAUAGUGAGUGGGUACAUUGCGUACAGCAUGUGUACACGUAUGCACAGAGCUGUGAUGCCCAGUACACUUUAUGGAGCUGUACACCCACUGUUUAUUGAUCUCAUUUUCUAAAAGAAGCUUCGCUGACCUUUCUUUUAUCCGUUUAAGGUCACAAACCUUAAACGGAGCGGUCACUGUGGAGGUUUGUUUAUUGAUCGCUGUGGUUUAGCUGAGGUAUCUCUAUAGUACGUGUUAUGAGGGAAUGCAGUAAUGUGUCAUGCAGUAAAGAUUUAGAUGAAGCUGGAUGCUUCUUUUCAGGCAGAUUGUUCCAUUUGUCCAGUAGCAAAGGAAUAAUAUAUUUGUUUUGUUUGUUCAUUUGUUCAUUUACCUCUCGCUGUGCUCUUGUCUCCAACAAAUAUGUGGAGCGGAGCGAAGUUGUAUCCAACAUAGUGGGAAAUUGUGAGGGUGUGUGACAGAACGGUUGGUCUUCAGCCCAGUGCACUAUGCAGGGAGGGGAACUAUUCAUAGGGGCUGAGAAACUAAAUAGGUGUUUGCAGUUCUGUGUGUUGUAAAGGUUCCAGGUGUGUACAUUUCAUUAGUAUUGGAUGCUUUCCUGACGGUGGUUAGCUGAUUAUUACAGUGGGCCAUGUGGAGGAAGACAUGUCAAUCAUAUUGACCUUCAGGGGAAAAUAAGGACAUCAGAACUGUUUUUUCCUUUUUGCAAUGACCUCAUACCCCCAACACACACACACACUUUUUUUCCUUUUUACUAUGGAAUUCUCUCUAUCAGCCGUGAGCCUAGAGAGAGGUUAUGUGGGUUAGGUCGUAUGUGUUGCUGACUGGACUGAGUGAAUGUGCGUUUCUGUGGCAAAUCCAGCUUUGAAAAAGUUGUUUGUUGUGGGGAAUAACACCUAUUAUUGAAAUGUAUUCAAUGUGGCAUAAUGUUAAAUGUGUGAGUGUGCGAGUGUAUGUAUGUAUGAUAAAUAUACCGCCUGUCUUUAUUUAGGCCAAAAUGAGGUUCCACCAAAAAUGUGCAGAUUUAAAUAACGUAUCAAAUUUGGGAAGUUGGCAUUUGAAAUGAACAUCACAGAUGUGGAGGAAAUACUCUGUGGUGGCGGCCUGAACACACCAGGUGAAGGCGCAGUAAAAUGCCGACUUGGUCUUUGACUCAGUUGGUGUUUUGUUGCCAGAUGGCUGGCGACUCCCGACCUUCAGACACCGCUCGCCUUCUGUCUGCUCACAAAACUCUUGUUCCGAUUGGAGGAAGAAAAACAGAAAGUCUCACGCUGACAUUUUUUUGUGAAAAUAGCUGUUAUCUCUAAAAUGCAGCGGCAUUGGAUUUUCUUUAUUCUCUUCCAGCAGCGUAAAUCCCAGCUGCUUGUUGAUCUCAGCCCCACGGAAAGAAAAAUGUCUGAAGUUGGUAAAACGCUCGUCUGGUUCGGGCCGCUUCCUAAACCUCUGCCUGGACCCCCCUGUUGGCUCGGCUAAGCCUGUUUUGGAGAAAACGCAUCAAGCUACAGCCAGAAGAAGUGAUGAGAUACCUUCAAGAGGAUAUGAGAAUGCUGUUGUCAGUGAUGUCACUCACAGAGCCUGAGGUAGAUGGUCCACAGUUCAUGCACGCCGCCUAACUGCAGCACGUCGUUCUGAAAGAACUACUAAAGGGAAACGUUGUGCUGAGUCAUGUCCGGUUAGGAUGCGACUGCUCUCGCUCUGUCUGCAACACACCAUCUGGGAUGCCAAAGGAGCAUUUUUUUCUUGUGGUGUGGCCCAUUAACUACUAUGGCAAGUCUGUCGAUGCUACUUUAAACGCAUUAUUUAGCGUCUGUAUGAGUCGCUCUAAGCUUUUCACUACACCAAACGGAAACCCAUCCACAUAAUUAUUAGAUGUGCAACUGACGACGUAGAAAGAGCUAGAAUGUCCGCGCAGGUCAGAUGGGUCAAACAACCGCAGUAGAAAAUCUCCAUUUAACUUAUAACCCCCAUAAUCAAUUUCAGAUGCAGAUAGCGUUUUUUCCCCUGGACUUGAUGAUGGAAGUAGUCUUCCCUAUCUUUCUCCUCCGUGGGGAGUUGCACGUGGGCAGUACCGAUCCUACAGGAUGUACGAAUCGGGUGCUGAGUUGCACGUGUUGUUGCUUUGUUGCUGAUAAAAGAGAUGGUAGCCUGGUGUUGGAUCGGAGGAAAGACUUACUUGCAUACUCAAGGACACCCGAUCCAGCAGUUUAGGCUCUAUCACAGGCAAAGAGGUGUAGGGACAGCUUCCAAAGAUAAAUGUCAUGGCAGGGAUAUUGUUUUGGACUGCAUCAUGAUUGUUCAGGCAUAGUGAAUAAAGUGGCUACUGGUUUCUGUUUUAAUGUGAUGAAGAUGAGUGGGGGGAAUGGCAUUUGGAAAUAGGUGGGCCAUGUACUGCUGUUAUAACAUGAGGAAAAUCUAUUAAAAAUGUUAAUAAAACAACCUACGUUAUCCAUGUAAUAUAUUUCCUGAGAGCUGGGUUAAAAAAAGCAUGCAUUUGAAAAAUGAAGCUUGGAAUCCCAUGAAUCCAUUUGGGGUGGCGGAUGAAGAAGUAAGAGAGGAGAACCCGUGUGCACCUUUUGGCCCUUAACCAGGGUAUGAUGUGAUCAUUUGAAAUGCCCGUUAUCCACUAUAUAGAACAUACAGCGCCUGAUGCCUCCAGUGUUUUGCAUUAAAUCUUAACACAGGAAUACUCAUCAUGAUACAAAAUGCUCCUGUGGAACUAAAUAUGAUGGUUGAUUGGAUCGGACGCUGGCACAUUUGUGUACUUCAAGGAGGUGAACCCUUUGAUCGCAGGGUAAGACAGCAAUGACGCAACAUUAGACCCCUCUGCUGGAUAUGUGGGCCACGAUAAGUGCCCCCGGGGUGGGGGGUGGAAAUCGCCUUUUUUGCCUAUAGUUGUUAUUCCUCACUAGACUUAAUGCGUGCUCUUUGUGCGCGCGGAGGAGAAAUGACAUCGGCUGUGAGUCGUUACCUCGUUUCUCAGGUGAUUAGUAUGAUUACGUCGGAGCUGCUGUUGUAAUUGCAAUUGGUUGUCAUGACCAAACAGCCUGGUAAAGAAUUUGAACAGGUUAGUUAUUUGCAGUAAAACGUCUAUUUGUCUGUCCUUCAGAUAUAAGACACGUAAGUUAUGUAACUGUGUACGACGCGCGUCCUACAAUUUUUUUUUUCUCAUCCAGUCCUCAAAGACCAAUGAAACUUUAUUGAUAUUUGCAGCCAGAGCAACAUGUUCCUUCGAGGCUCCCUGGAUACACACCACUUGGAACAGGAGGUAUUAAGGGUUGGGCAGCCGAGAGACAAGUGGUUAUAAACCAGAUGAACACAGGGUCCCUAAAAUGACUCAGCAGUGAAAUUCACUGAGAGGAAAACUGAAACAAUGAGCUCCAUGUGUCAUUGCCCAACGGACGCACUUUUUUUGUGUUCUGGUAGAUUAUUUCAGUGUUCCACUGACCUUAAAAGUCACUGAGGGUGAACUACUCAGAGCUCAGCUCCAAGCUCUUCUGGAGGUUUCACCUGCAUCCCAUUGCCCCAUUCUAAUAGAAACCAGGUGUCCUCUACAAGCACCCUGUGAAACUUUGCUCUUUCAUCAUCCUGAAUGGACCAUGAGUUUUAAAUCCUGUUUACUGGACAAAUUGUAGUCAACUAAUCUUCCUCCCCUCUUUGUGGUGCUUUAAUAUAUCCCAGGCACAAUCAAAUACAGUGUAUAUUGUAGCCCUCAUGUUUAGCAUCCUCACAUGAAGCACUCAAAAGUCUUAAACAUUUUUAAGCUAAAAUUUCCUAGAACUACUGGUGCGUUUAAAGGCGUCCUCAAGCGUUCUAGUGCUGAAAACCUAAAAUACAGAUGAUUUCUCAAAUGAGAAAAAUUCAAGACCCUUCAUGUGAAAAGUCACACGAUGCACAGCUUACGUGGUCUUAUGUCUAACAAGCAGAGACGUCAUGAACGUCUGAAGAAAGCAGUCUGAGCUCCAGGUCCACGCCCCGUUGUCAUGGCCACCGGAAAAACAUCAACACAUAGGGACACGACGACAACAUAACACACACGCUGUGACACUCUCUCAUAGCGUCGGUUCUCAGACCAUUAAAAACACCUGCUUAGCACCCGACAACAGGCAGAACUAGUUAGAGACCAGCUGGUAGGUGUCCUGGAGCAGCGAGCAGCGGAGCUGGUGGAGACCAAAAAGAGGAAACAAAAAGUAGAGGCAGCGUCAGACAACCAUCAAAACUCCAAAUGAAUCAUAAGGUUUCCCAUGUGGCGCGAUAGCAGGUCUCAGAGGUACUGGAUGCUGAACAUGCUGAUCAGAGAUUUGGCCUUCACCUGUUGUAUGUAUAGGACAGGAACUUAAUUGAAAUAUAAGCAUGUGGACUUUAGAGGGUUCCUUUUUCAAUGUCAUGCAUAUAUGUAUAGUUAAUAUAAAGCUGGCCUUGGUGUAUUGGAUGUGUGAUCAUUGCUAAUAACGGCUUCAUUGCUCAUCUCCAUCCAUCAGAGAAAUUGUGUUUAUUUAAUAAUAAAUAUAUUCAUUUUUAUUUAAUAAACUUUUAGUUUAGCUGCUAUGUGUUGUGGAGGCGGAAACGUUGUGUCUCUUAUACAACUACACACACUGAAUAUUUUGCAUUGAAGUAACAUUACAACAAUAAUACAAUAAUAGUGUUUGUGGUCUUCUUUCCCCACCCUGAAGCAUAUGUUGGUGGCUCACUAUGGCAGCAGUGUGGUUGCACAAGAGAGGGCAGGGACAGCGGAUUAGGAUUCACAUGAUGCUGGUACUUUUCUGUUACAUCUUUAAUGUUGCCCACAGCAAUACUGUUCAUUUUGUGGAAUAGCUACGUUCCUGUUAGGAAUGACCAUUAAGGGAAAAUUGUCUUUUAUUUCCUAACUGUUUGUUGCAAAAGCAGUCAGCUCCUCUAAGAUGCAGCUUAAGACUUUGUCUCUUUGACAAUGAUUCCAGGUAGGGCUUCCUCAGGUUACACUGCCUAUACUGCCGUGGACGUCUUAGCACGACACACCCAUUUCCUCUCUCUGUCACGCUCUAUCCUUCUAUAAUAACCUCAUUAAUUCACAUCACUAGGAGAGCUUCUUCCCCAGAGUAUUUGUGCUUUCUCUCCUCACAGGCUUCCAUGGAUCAUGGUUCUAUCUGGACUCCGUUCCUGCCUCCUGCCCUGCGACAACUACUGCUAUCGUCAUUAUUAUCAUUACAUAUAUUCAUUACAUUACUGUCAUCAUAAACCAACAUUAUUUCUUAUUUCCUGGAGUCUUUGUACUUUCCCUCCCCACUGAAGAAGCCCCCCCGAGCUGCUCCGUGUUUGCUGCCAGAUGCGAAGGUGCACCGCUGUGAUUAAUUAAGGUUCUGAUUUCAGUCUUUCUUUGGCACAAACAACACACACAGGUGUUGAUAGAAGGGAGGCAGCACCCAGUUUAAUAGUUAAAUACCAAAUUAUUAGGUGGAGAACUUCUGAGUAUCUAUUUGCAAUCAGUGGUGGGGGGAGGACGGCGUAGGGGGCGGAGUCAGUAUUUGUCCAAUAAUUAACACCUUAAAACCCUCAGUAGGAGGAUGCUGAGGUAUCUCCUCAGUAUGCUGCACUUAAUAAGCGCACCAUAUGCGAUAGCUUGCAAUUACAUUUUCUAUUUAAUGUUCAAUGGUAUUUUCAUUAAUCUAUGCAUAAUAUCACUCUGAAUAUCAUGCAUAAUAUCACUUUUCUCGUUAAGUUUCCUUCAUUCACUGGUGUUAGAAUAAAUCUUUACUGUUACAUUGUUUAGUUUUGUAAUCUGUAAUCUGUUUUGUUUUGUCAGUAUUAUUUAUUCACACUAACUAUUUUUCUAAUGAUUAAGUUUAAGUUUUUAUUCUAUUAUUAUAUGCUCAUCUAUUGUAAUCUUGAACCAAACCCUGGCACAAGAAGGUCCAUCGGGAUGGAUAAAGUUAUUAUUAGUUUCUCAUUUUAAUGGCCAAGAAGUUCCAAGCGGCUGCGCAAAAGUGAAAGGGACUGUGUGUGAUUACAUGUUGGCUUCUUUUCAGUAUGACCAGAGCCAGUACAGAAGGGGGGCUGGAGGGGUGCCAUCGCAUGUUGUAUGUUGGUAUAUUUGUUAUAGUACCUGCUGUCAGGGUUGAUGGGGGGAAAUGGGCGUUUCAGAGCUGGACUUCCACUUCCUGCCGGAUCGCCAAACACCAACAGUGUUUGGUAUUGAUUUAGUACCCUGUCUUGAUUGUCGAUAACUCUAAUUGCUUUUAAAAACAUUUCGAUAAUAAAAAUAAAAAAAAUAAUUCAGAACAGGAUUAGAAGUUAUACUUAAAUAUAGUUUUUUGAAUGUCAAUAGUGUUUACUAUAUACAAGAGCAAAAUUACUCUAUAUAAUAAUACAAUAAACAUAAAAAAUACACACGACUUUUAAAUUCUCCGGUAUUCUGUUCAGCUGCUGUAGAAACACUUUAAAUAAAUAAAUGACUGACAAGUAUUUUUAUUUUCAGGAGUUUAUCUGUUAAUGAUCACAUCCUUUUUCUAUGAAUGAAUCCCCAAAAUGUUGCACCUUGUUCCUUUUAAAACCUAUUUUUGUUUUGGAAAGACAUUGGUAUUGGACAUUGGUGUGGCACGGUUGCCGCGGGUUACAUCAGCUCACCGUUUACAUAUCAGUGCUCAGGGCCGAACAUGGCUGUGACGGAUUUCCGUCACAUACCGAUGUGGUGGAGAUAAAUGAAUGAACCUCAAUAGAGCUCAUCGAGUGUGAAGGUCACCGCGUCAGAGCGCUCAGCACAUCACCGCUCUCAUGGCCGUGUUUACAGGCAGGACCACACGACAUCUUCACAAUGCAGCACAGUUGGUGCACAUUUGGUGCACAUCAGGACAUGAAAUACAGGCUGUGAAAUAGAAGCUGAUGGCUGACACUGAUGUUUGGCAGUGUUAGCUGACAGCACACCAGUUAUGAGACAGCAGAUGUGACUGAGAACAGAGUCACUGCACAGUUAGCUUCUUAUAAGGGAAAGGCAAUUGAUGUAUCCAUCCUUUACCAAAGGGGGAAAUUGGUGAAAAUAGAUGCCUUCAUUUAACUGUAAAAUCAUGCUAUGUUUCUUUUUCUCUGCCGCAACAAGUAGGAAUAUUUGUUUUUAUCUCCACAUGCUAAUUGAAUGUUGUCACAUUGUCAAGAAAGUGAGAUUUUAUGCAUUUUAUAUCAUUCAAUAGCAUUUGGCAAAUUCUGAUGGCCAUGCUCUAGCAAAACGGAACAUGAAAAUGGGGGAGGCUUUAUGGCAACUUUGGUGACAAUUGCUCAAACUAUUUUGGGAGGCUUUUUAGUAUGAAAUUUAUUUAGCUGUAUGAUUUAUUUGAAAUGCACAGUGUUUAACAGGGAUGACCAGGCACAUGUCUCUUUUUUGCUACCAAUCACGCUUACAUUGAUGUUCUUAAUGUCACCACUGAUGAAUGUGCACUGUCAUCCUUGGAAAAACAACAACACACCAAAAAACCUGAUGCACCCUGUAUAUAUGGUAUUUUGCAGAGGUACUGAAAUGUUGUACUCAAGUACAAGUACAGUUUGCUUAAAUUGUACUCAAUUACAAGUAAAAGUACUAGUGUUAAUUAAUAAUUAUAAUAAUAAUAAUAAAUAUAGAAAAAUCACAAAAACAAAUCCAGCAGUAAAAUGCUGCAAAAGGAAAAUGCGGCAAUCACAAAAACGACCGGAGCACAUGGGACGCAAACUUCGAGAGGGAGGGAAACGCUGCAAGUACACUGAAAACACAACAGAAGUUCGCCAGGCCACUAGGAGGUCUCGACCUGUGGGAUAGUGGAUGGACUAUGGGAGAUCCACCACCAUGGCAUCGGGCCAGAGAGCAAAUGAGACUUUUUAAAUAAUACAAAACUAUUAUGUCCAGUAAAAGUGAUGCCAAAUAAUACAUGUAAAAGAGAAAGAACGGCCAAUGUGAAAUGCCCAGUUUCCCAUAGACCCAAGACUCAAUGCUGCCACAUGAAUGUCUUCUGAGACAGGCAUCAGCUUAGCAGUAGUGCUAAUAAACACACAGAGCGGUAAACUGCUCAAUGACUUGAUGGAAACGUGGGAUGUCUGCCCUGUCACCACCUCCCUGGACCGAGUACUUGACAUAGUUUCACUUGGAGAUGUGUCUUUGGACCACAGUUAGCUCCACAUUCACGUUCCUCCUGCGGUGCGCCAUGAAGGCCUUUAGCCUGAUGACGCUUUGAGUCCGAGUCACCCUCUCUUCCCCCGGCGUGUACCUCCUACUCGGUGCAAUCACAGCUGUGCUGUAACACAACCGUGCCAAAGUAACACAUAAUGCACUCAGGGGGGGCUCCAUACGGAGCACUUGGGAGAUCUCGUCUUCCUGUUACCUUCCACCCAGUCGGAUAGCUCCUUCCCUAUCUCCUGCCUCCUCGCAUCAACUGGCAGCGGUUGAGUUAACGGUCAGGAACAUGAACAACGUUAGUGAAGUUGAAGCUGUAGCUGCUUGUAACAUUAAUGUCAAAGUCACGGCUGCGGAAUUAUUGUGACCUCUUGUGCUUCAUUGAGCUUUUUGUUUUAUUAAGUGACUGGACUAAGAAAUCCGCUUUGGGUAUCACAGACGGAAGACACCGCAGCGUUAACGCCAAACUAACUUACGGGUUCCACUCCUAAAAAUUGAUGGUAUAAAAUAAGUUUCAUUGCUUUUAUUCAGUGCGUGUGGGCCGCCCUGCGUCGUCUGACUCAGGAGCACAGUCACAAACCGGCCUGCGACGACUAAAGAGGGAGAUUCACUCAACCAAGCUUGACAAAGUGUUCCAGAUGAAGAGCUGGAACUAAAUGAAGCGGCGUAUGGAGUCGGUGAGUUCAGCAGUGUAGGAAAGAGCGAUGUUGGUGUAGAGACACAAACCACCAUCUGAUCUUAAGGUGUGUUGUCUUUGACGUCAAUAGAACAUCCGGUUGGUGUGUUUCCUGUUUUAUUUUGUCCCUAAAGCCUCUCCUGUCAUUUCGGUUCCUCUCCUCGUGUUCCUCCUGAUUUCUCAUCACCCAGCCUGGAUUUCCAACUCACGUAGACUCCCCUGCUUUUUAUCUGCUUAGCAAUUUGAACCUCUUAUUUCCAGCCAAGAGCGAAACACGCUGUUCACAUACACGACUGACCUCAUGGAGUCCGUUCUAUUUGUAGUAGCCCCUUUAAUGUCUAAUGAUGAGUCCCUUUAAAAAAACACACUUACUCACUCUGUAGAAACAAACUGUGUGACUCAUGCUUAGUUGUUAUUCUCACUUCUCCAUCAUGUCGUCCUUCACCCAACUAAAAAUAAUUUUCUUUUGCUAAAGUGCUAGAACACGUGUGACAAUAAGCGUAGUUGAAUGCCUGAACGAGGUGUCA